Taeniopygia guttata (zebra finch) is the source of this 1153-nucleotide non-coding RNA. Lineage: Eukaryota; Metazoa; Chordata; Aves; Passeriformes; Estrildidae. The record is from RefSeq and is a predicted model, not a curated record.
GUGGGCCCGUUGUGCAAAGAGUGGCAGAGAGGGGCUGGUGGCAUUGUCACAGUGACACGGGGACACACAGCUGUGCCAACCACAUGGCAACGAUGGAUCCCACCCUAGGAGCCAGCAGAAUGUGUCUUUGAGAGAAUGUGGAAGCAGAUCCCCACCCGAAGGCCCAAAAUGACGGCCAAAAAGCAGCCCAGGGAGCAGAUGCCAAGGCUUUGUGUUACCUCCCAGAGCAGCAGAGCCCAGGCAUUGUUGGACUGCGCCGAGGCUUUUAGGCACAGACGGUCUAUAUGCUGAGUUUGCCGAACAAAAGAGAGUUUGCAGUGGUGUCGGUCUGGAUCUGAAUAGGAAUUAAUUCAGACAAAAUAACUGGAAUUGCACUAGUUACGGUCUUAAAUGUUUGCUGCAUCCCUCUUUACUUAUUCUUUUAGAGGAAGGGCACAGGUAUAAAGGCUAUUUGGAGAGAAAAUUACUUCCAUUUUGGUAGGCACAUCCUGUUUCCUUCCACCAGCUCCAUCCAGCCUUGCCUGGGAGCUCCCAUUCCACACCAAAAAGGAGACUGGGCCUGAGCAAUACUUAUUAAUUAUUAUUAUUUAUUAUUAUUUGUAUUAUUAUUUAUGGGUUGUCAGAUUUGGGAUGAGAUCAGCAUUUUUCUGAGGUGGAUCUCACAGACCAAAACCCUGUGUUGGAUCGUGCUAGGCAGACUCCAAGUGACCAAAAGUGACAGAUAUUUUUUUGGAAACUGUCUAUUUUUACCAGAACUUUGGAAAAUAUGGUUCUUUCAGACACUUUUGCUUGAACUGUGAAUAUUUUUGCACGUCCCUGUUGGGUGUCACGUCUCUGUGUUUCUGGGGUGCCACGGGAAGUCUGCUGAGAGCUUUCAGUGCCUGCCCUCGUGAGCAGCAUUGGCUCAGCCUUUAACAACCUGAUCAAAACACGCCGUGCCGAGGCUUUUCUUCAGCUGUUGGUUUGGAUUUCAUGCUUUGGGUGAGGAGAGAACGGGAUUCUGCUCUGACUGCGAAAGAAUCAGAAUUCAGACUUUUAUCUCCCAGAGCAUUUCCCUUGAGCAGACAAAACAACUGGGAGCUCUUUAUAAAUUUACCCUGCCCCUUGAUAUCUGCCAGCUCUCUGGGAAGGCGAGCACUUCAACUCACACCAA